AUUGAACGCUGGCGGCAUGCCUUACACAUGCAAGUCGAACGGCAGCACGGGAGCAAUCCUGGUGGCGAGUGGCGAACGGGUGAGUAAAGUAUCGGAACGUGCCCAGUCGUGGGGGAUAACGUAGCGAAAGUUACGCUAAUACCGCAUACGAUCUAUGGAUGAAAGCGGGGGAUCGCAAGACCUCGCGCGAUUGGAGCGGCCGAUAUCAGAGUAGGUAGUUGGUGGGGUAAAGGCUCACCAAGCCGACGAUCUGUAGCUGGUCUGAGAGGACGACCAGCCACACGGGGACUGAGACACGGCCCAGACUCCUACGGGAGGCAGCAGUGGGGAAUUUUGGACAAUGGGCGAAAGCCUGAUCCAGCCAUGCCGCGUGCAGGAUGAAGGCCUUCGGGUUGUAAACUGCUUUUGUACGGAACGAAAAGCUUUGGCCUAAUAAGCUGAGCUCAUGACGGUACCGUAAGAAUAAGCACCGGCUAACUACGUGCCAGCCGCCGCGGUAA
RNAcentral lists this ribosomal RNA (500 nucleotides) under uncultured bacterium. RNAcentral describes it as "partial 16S ribosomal RNA". It matches the Rfam family "Bacterial small subunit ribosomal RNA", at positions 30 to 523 of the family's 1533-position model. The record is from RNAcentral.